Molecule: ribosomal RNA, 492 nt
Filed under: uncultured bacterium
Lineage: Bacteria
Description: partial 16S ribosomal RNA
Rfam family: Bacterial small subunit ribosomal RNA
Source: RNAcentral
AGUGAACGCUGGCGGUAGGCCUAACACAUGCAAGUCGAACGGCGGCACAGGAAGAGCUUGCUCUUACGGGUGGCGAGGGGCGGACGGGUGAGGAAUACAUCGGAAUCUACUUUUUCGGGGGGGAUAACGUAGGGAAACUGACGCUAAUACCGCAUACGACCUACGGGUGAAAGCAGGGGUUCUUCGGACCUUGCGCGAUCGAAUGAGUCGAUGUCGGAUUAGCUAGUUGGCGGGGUAAAGGCCCACCAAGGCGACGAUCCGUACCUGGUCUGAGAGGAUGAUCAGCACCACUGGAACUGAGACACGGUCCAGCCCCCUCCGGGGGGCGCCAGAGGGGAUUAUUGGCCAAUGGGCGCAGGCCUGAUCCAGCAAUACCGCGUGGUUAAGGAGGGCCUUCGGGUGUUAAACCCCUUUUGUUGGGAAGAAAAAUCGGCAGGUUAAUACCCCCCUCUUCUGACGGUACCUAAACAGUAAGCGCCGGCUAACUUCGUG